ACAGACCUCUCUGGUGAUGUGAAAUAUCAUUGUGUGAACUUCCAUGGAAAGGGAAAGAACACCGGUUUUGUUGCAUAUGGCAGAAGUGACAAUGGGGACUUGCAGUUUAACAAGCCCUCUACACAGGAAACAAAAGUAAUUCUAAAUUAACAUAACUAAUUAGCAGCCUUAGAUAACGUAAUUGCUAUGCAGAACUUCACAGUUUUAGUUAGCAUUAUGUAUUAACUACUAUGUAAUUAUUAAGGCACCACACUCAGCACCAGCAACUUAAUUAUCAUUAGUAUUGCGCCAGUCUCAAGCUUGAAUGCUGACGAUUAAUAAACCACAAUUAUUUAUACUGUAAUUGUGUCAUUUUAAUUAAACUGAAAAUGCACUUCGUUUGCUUUUUGUUACAAUGUUAAUUUUUUAAAUUAAGGUCAGGUCUUUUCGUCAAGCUCUUUUUUUUUUUUUAAUCUCUAAUUGCAAGUUAGAUAGACUGAUCUCUUGUCAUCCUGAGAAAACAUUGUGACUGUUGGUGACAAGUGAAUUUUGGGGUAAUAAAACAACCUCAGUGCUCUCGAGUUAUGCCAUCUCAAUGCCAAUAAACAAUAUCUUGAUAUGUUAUUUCCAUGAUUGUUAAGUAACCUCAAUAUAUGUAAAUCCCAUUUAAUUUUCUUUUAGAAUUAGUCUCUGCAAGGGUCGUUUUUUUAUUACAUUAUGACAAUGCUUAGUGGGCCCUGUUGAAAACAGAGAAUUUACAGACCAACAAGACCAAAGUUGAAGUGUAGGCUUACCAAUGUAAAAUUAUCUGCUCAUUGUCACCUAAUAUGUCACUGCCACAGCCAGGAACAGAGUCAAGGCCUCCCAGCUCUUAUUUCCGUGUUCUGCCUGCUAGAUCACAUUGCUCCUCAUGUUAGUAAGUUGAGAAAUGCCAAGUGUGUGGUGAGGCAGAGCCUUAGUCCCUAUUUUCAUAACAGGGUUCCUGGCCUUAGUAAUAAUUAAAGAUUUUUUUUAAUGCAUUUUUGUAACUCCUCUGACUUCAGGGGAUUUCUUUUUUAUUUACACAAGAUGGAUCAGGCCCAGGAUUAAUAGCUUUCCUCAGAGUGCUUGAGUACAGCAAUAUUUGCUUAUAUAGAGGAGGAAUGAUUUCCCUGCCAUUACCCAGAUAAAUUUACUAUGAAUUUGCAGCAAGUUCUGCCCCAGUUUUUGCCCUCUGAGAGACUCUCAGUGCUAACCAUUAGAAACUUUAUAGGUAAGCUUCAGUUUCUUUUUAUAUAGCCAGAAUUUAACUUAACUCAAAAUGUCAGUGUGUUUGCCUUGAGGGAGAAUAGAAAGGAGAAUUACCUAGUCCAUUUCAGGGAUUAGUCUUACUUGUGCUUUCUUUAUUGCAGUAUCUUCCAAGUUACAGGGCUGGAAGCCCAGAGGUUAAAUGGAUGAACACUGGAUCAAAAGCAAGGCUUUUGGGAGCACAGUGAGUGAGGAUUUGUCAGGUGGACUGACUGAAAGCCAUGACAGACAGAAAACAAAUACUGGAAAAUAUCCAAAGGGGGAAAAAUAUUCUGUCAGUUCAGGAAAGAAACAGGUUAUGGAAAGGAGGCUGCUUUGGGAUGGGCUGCUUAAAACAAAAGCAAGGAAUUACCGGACUUUGGAAGUUGAAGGAAGCAAACAUGGAAGCUAAGAAGAGGGAAGAGAAUAAAAUGUUAUAAUUGCAGUGCCACUUAAAUGUUAUCUACAUGUCUGAACAACAGUGAAAUGACUGACCGCCAAGAAAGGGGAAACCAAUUGCCUAUCCAUAGAGACAGUACAGGUAUCUCUGGAGCUGUAUGUUAAACUUGUGAUGAAACAAACAGCAAAACCAGAGGCCUCGGUGCUUGCCUCCUUUCUGUCUUUGGAAAUCAAUGGGAAUACAGUGCUGUAACUCUAAGUUACUAAUGAAGUGAGAUGGAUAUUUUUACAGAUGAGUUCUAACCCACAAGGUAUAUUUUGUCUUUCUUAAUGUAAGUGGGAUAAAUGGAAAAACCAAUGAAAUAUCUCUUCUGUGGCCUCUCUCACCCUGUGCCUUGCAAGUUCUGGGACUGCUAGUGACAGUCUCUGUGAAUUAUCUGCUGGGGUGAUGUUGUUCUGACCUGUAAUAACAAGAUCUGUCAUUAUGAAAUCAACUAGCUCCAUCUCAAAGGGCUGUGCGAAGAAAAGAGACAGCGGAAAGUCACCCAGCUGAUGACAAACCGUGUCAAUUCCACAGGCUUUUAUCUUAUGUUUUGAUAGUGAAUUACAAGAUAAACAUUCUCUUACAUGUAAGUGCAUAAAGAAUAAAGAUGGCAUUCGGAAUUUUGCUCUUUAUGAAGCCCUCAAAACGACAACCUAUUUACCGUGGCCAUUUUCUUAGGAUUUCCUGAAAUUCUGGACACUCAAAAAAGAAUGACAGUAAAGAUGUAAAAAGAUCAUGGAGGAAAAGGCUGAGAAAA
Molecule: long non-coding RNA, 2444 nt
Organism: Neopsephotus bourkii (Bourke's parrot)
Lineage: Eukaryota; Metazoa; Chordata; Aves; Psittaciformes; Psittacidae
Exons: 4
Source: RefSeq, a predicted model, not a curated record